GUGAAGCCGCGAAUAGCUCAUUACAACAGCCACCGUUUACUAGAAUAUAGUUAUCCUACUUGGAUAACUGUGGCAAUUCUAGAGCUAAUACAUGCAAAAAAGCUCCGCCCGCAAGGAACGAGCGCAUUUAUUAGAAUAAAAACCAAUCGGGUUUCGGCCCGUAAUUUGGUGAAUCUGAAUAACUUUGCCAAUCGCACAGUCCUAGUACUGGCGAUGUAUCUUUCAAGUGUCUGCCUUAUCAACUUUCGAUGGUAGGUUAUACGCCUACCAUGGUAGUAACGGGUAACGGAGAAUAAGGGUUCGACUCCGGAGAGGGAGCCUGAGAAACGGCUACCACAUCCAAGGAAGGCAGCAGGCGCGCAAAUUACCCACUUCCAGAACGGAGAGGUAGUGACGAAAAAUAACGAGACAGUCCUCUUCGAGGUCUGUCAUCGGAAUGGGUACAAUUUAAAUCCUUUAACGAGGAUCUAUUGGAGGGCAAGUCUGGUGCCAGCAGCCGCGGUAAUUCCAGCUCCAAUAGCGUAUAUUAAAGUUGUUGCGGUUAAAACGCUCGUAGUUGGAUCUGCGGCCUCGGAGAACGGUCCCCCGAAAGGGUGGUCACUGUCUCUCCUAGCCUAAAUUCGAGUCGUCUCUAGGUGCUCUUUACCGGGUGCUUAGAGUGACUAGAACGUUUACUUUGAAAAAAUUAGAGUGCUUAAAGCAGGCGAAAUAGCCUGAAUAAGGUGCAUGGAAUAAUGGAAUAGGACCUCGGUUCUAUUUUGUUGGUUUUCGGAACCCGAGGUAAUGAUUAAGAGGAACAGACGGGGGCAUUCGUAUUCCGGCGCUAGAGGUGAAAUUCUUGG
Molecule: ribosomal RNA, 842 nt
Filed under: Nematoda environmental sample
Lineage: Eukaryota; Metazoa; Nematoda
Description: SSU rRNA
Rfam family: Eukaryotic small subunit ribosomal RNA
Source: RNAcentral